AUGACGUCAAAUCAUCAUGCCCCUUAUGUUCUGGGCUACACACGUGCUACAAUGGCCGGUACAGACGGACGCAAAGCCGCGAGGUGGAGCAAAUCCUAAAAAGCCGGUCUCAGUUCGGAUUGCAGGCUGCAAUUCGCCUGCAUGAAGCCGGAAUCGCUAGUAAUCGCGAGUCAGCAUCGCGCGGUGAAUACGUUCCCGGGCCUU
This 204-nucleotide ribosomal RNA is filed under the name uncultured Bacillus sp. Its description in RNAcentral is "partial 16S ribosomal RNA". It matches the Rfam family "Bacterial small subunit ribosomal RNA", at positions 1179 to 1382 of the family's 1533-position model. Lineage: Bacteria; Bacillati; Bacillota; Bacilli; Caryophanales; Bacillaceae. The record is from RNAcentral.